GCUAGUUGUAUUAACUAUUAGUUAAUGCAAAAUCGAUUAUGUCGAAUAAAGUUCUAGGUAGAAUAAUGAUUAUGACAAUUUUCUACCUAUAUGUCUUGACCAAACCUCGUGCCAGCAGUCGCGGUAAUACGUGGAAGACUAGUGUUAUUCAUCUUUAAUAGGUUUAAAGGGUACCUAGACGGUUUUUCUAGCCCAAAAUAGGGUACAGAUUUACUAGAGUUUUAUGUGAGGAGGGGAGUACUUAUGGAGUUAGAGAUGAAAUUCUGUCAUACUAUAAGGAAACUGGUGGCGGCGUAAGCAACCUUCUAAGUAUAAACUGACGUUGAGGGACGAAGGCUUGGGUAGCAAAUAGGAUUAGAUACCCUAGUAGUCCAAGCAGACAAUCCUGAAUGCCAUAGAUUAGAUUAUUUUUGGUCUAUAAAUGAAAGUGUAAGCAUUCCACCUCAAGAGUAAUGUGGCAACACAGGAACUGAAAUCAUUAGACCGUUUCUGAAACCAGUAGUGAAGUAUGUUAUUUAAUUCGAUGAUCCGCGAAAAACCUCACCACAAUUUGAAUAUUAUUAAAAUAAUACAAGCGUUGCACGGCUGUCUUCAGUUAAUGUCGUGAGAUUUUGGUUAAUUCCAUUAAAUUAACGUAAACCCUUACUUUAUU
This 652-nucleotide ribosomal RNA is filed under the name Myriospora sp. RNAcentral describes it as "SSU rRNA". It matches the Rfam family "Bacterial small subunit ribosomal RNA", at positions 396 to 1115 of the family's 1533-position model. The record is from RNAcentral. Lineage: Eukaryota; Fungi; Ascomycota; Lecanoromycetes; Acarosporales; Acarosporaceae.